GGGGCUGAAUUUUAAGCUCGACAUUGGUUUUAUCGGUUAUGUUUGCAGGUCGCUUACCCAGCGUCAUAGGGUAACCAAUCUUAGAUGCAAAUUCUAAAUUGAGCGCAUUGUUUGCUAAGGGUCGCGCAGCUUCAAACCUGUUCACUCCUAGCCAGGCAUACGCAUUCCAAACAGCCUAAGUGCAGUUUGAACGCCCUAGCGACUUCAGAUAGCUAGUCAGCGUUACAUAUUUCUGGACGCUCGGCCGGGUUUAUCCAGCCCGACCGCUAAGCCUAGGAUUGCUCGUGUGUGAUGUUUGUCUGUUUCGAUACACACAUGCUAAGACAGCAAAAUAGACUAAGCCUGUAGAAAACUAACCAAGAUACACCGAUGGACGCGGGGGCAGUACCCGCCAGCUCCUCCA
RNAcentral lists this transfer-messenger RNA (403 nucleotides) under Candidatus Saccharimonadota bacterium. Its description in RNAcentral is "Candidatus Saccharibacteria bacterium transfer-messenger RNA". It matches the Rfam family "transfer-messenger RNA". Rfam says of the family: Bacterial tmRNA, also known as 10Sa RNA or SsrA, is named for its dual tRNA and mRNA-like properties. Its role is to liberate the mRNA from a stalled ribosome. RNAcentral also lists the same sequence under 1 other name. Lineage: Bacteria; Candidatus Saccharimonadota. The record is from RNAcentral.